GAUGAACGCUGGCGGCGUGCCUAAUACAUGCAAGUCGAGCGAACAGACGAGGAGCUUGCUCCUCUGACGUUAGCGGCGGACGGGUGAGUAACACGUGGAUAACCUACCUAUAAGACUGGGAUAACUUCGGGAAACCGGAGCUAAUACCGGAUAAUAUAUUGAACCGCAUGGUUCAAUAGUGAAAGACGGUUUUGCUGUCACUUAUAGAUGGAUCCGCGCUGCAUUAGCUAGUUGGUAAGGUAACGGCUUACCAAGGCAACGAUGCGUAGCCGAGCUGAGAGGGUGAUCGGCCACACUGGAACUGGGACACGGUCCAGACUCCUACGGGAGGCAGCAGUAGGGAAUGUGCCGCAGUGGGCGAAAGCCUGACGGAGCGGCGCCGCGUGAGUGAUGAAGGUCUUCGGAUCGUAAAACUCUGUUAUUAGGGAAGAACAAAUGUGUAAGUAACUAUGCACGUCUUGACGGUACCUAAUCAGAAAGCCACGGCUAACUACGUG
RNAcentral lists this ribosomal RNA (497 nucleotides) under uncultured bacterium. RNAcentral's name for it is "partial 16S ribosomal RNA". It matches the Rfam family "Bacterial small subunit ribosomal RNA", at positions 28 to 507 of the family's 1533-position model. The record is from RNAcentral.